UAACUUGCCCUUGGGUCUGGGAUAACCCCUGGGAAACUGGGGCUAAUACCGGAUAGAGCAUCGAUCGCUGGAAUGCMUGAUGCUCGAAAACUACGGUGCCCAAGGAUAGGUCUGCGGCUGAUUAGGUUGUUGUUGAUGUAAUGGACCAACAAGCCUACGAUCGGUACGGGUUGUGAGAGCAAUAGCCCGGAGAUGGGUUCUGAGAAAAGAACCCAGGUCCUACGGGACGCAUCAGGCGCGAAAACUUUACACUGUGCGAAAGCACGAUAAGGGAACUCUGAGUGCCUCCUAAGGAGGCUGUUCUAGUGUCUAAAAAGCAAUAGAAGUAAGGGCUGGGCAAGACCGGUGCCAGCCGCCGCGGUAACACCGGCAGCCCAAGUGGUAGCCACGUUUAUUGGGUCUAAAGCGUUCGUAGCCGGCUUGGUAAGUUCCUUGGUAAAUUUAGCCGCUUAACGGUUAAGCUUUCAGGGAAUACUGCUURGCUUGGGACUGGGAGAGGUCAGAGGUACUCCAGGGGUAGGGGUGAAAUCCAUUAAUCCUUGGGGGACCACCGGUAGCGAAGGCGUCUGACCAGACCAGCUCCGACGGUGAGGGACGAAGGCUAGGGGCGCGAACCGGAUUAGAUACCCGGGUAGUCCUAGCUGUAAACGAUGCGGGCUAGGUGUUGGCAUUACUGCGAGUGGUGCCAGUGCCGAAGGGAAGCCGUUAAGCUCGCCAUCUGGGGAGUACGGUCGCAAGGCUUAACUUAA
Molecule: ribosomal RNA, 749 nt
Filed under: uncultured methane-oxidizing archaeon
Lineage: Archaea
Description: bacterial SSU rRNA
Rfam family: Archaeal small subunit ribosomal RNA
Source: RNAcentral